RNAcentral lists this long non-coding RNA (1229 nucleotides) under Elaeis guineensis (African oil palm). Its description in RNAcentral is "long non-coding RNA (EGUI_LNC027978)". Lineage: Eukaryota; Viridiplantae; Streptophyta; Magnoliopsida; Arecales; Arecaceae. The record is from RNAcentral.
CAUUUGAUAAAAAAAAAUUAAGUUUGGGAAUGAAUCAAGUGAGAAAAGUCAAAUUUUGGAAGUUGAGUCGACUUAUGGCUUGAAGUAGUUGAUUCUAGUACAUUCUGACACUAGCAUACAGUUUUGGCACGUUUGUGAAUCAACUCAUGGUUGCCUCAAGUCAACUCUUUCAUUAAAAUAUAAGAUUGAAUUUUUGGCACAGCUACUCAAGUCGACUUAUGGAUAUGGCGAGUCGACUCAUGGAUAGGGGCCAAUCGACUUUAUCAAGAAAAAUAAAAAGUCAAUUUUUGAAGAUUUAAGAUCGAGUCGACUCAGGCUCUUCAUGAGUCAACUUUCGAACCUUUAUGAGUCGACUCUUCAGCCUGUGAGUCAAUUCUUAAGCUUUUGACAGUUCAAACGGCUAGUUCUGCAAGAGAUUUUAUUUCAUCUAGAAUUUUUUCUAAUGGCUUGAUUUCUUCUCCAACGAUCAAAAAUGGUUGGAAUUGAGUUCAAAGUAUAUAAAAUUUAAUGGUAAUCGAAUAAAGAUAUAAGAGAAACCAAGUGAACACAAGGAAAAAUAACUUUCAAAGAAAAAGGGUCUACUUUCAGUAUUCACUGCAUUUAAAAGAGUUCAACCACUUUUUAACUAUUUUUUUUUGAACUUUAUUAGGGUAAUUAAGGAGACAAGAGUGAGCAUUAAGUUUAAGUAUUCAAGUCUUCUCCGGUUAAGUUUUAUCGACAACAAAUCAGCUCAUUUAAGGAGCUUUUCUUUUGUUGUAAAUUUUUUAUAUUUGAAUGUUUUUGUAACAAGUUUCAAAGGGUCUGAAACUUAGGAAAAUGUUUGAUCCAAACAUAUUAAUUGGAUUAGGAGUCUUGGAUUAAGACUUGUAAAAAUUUUGAUUGGUUGAUAUGGAUUAAAACUAAUUGGGUUGUUUGUAAGUUUGAUUAGACAAACUUGCUAUAUUCUUGUGAAUAUGUGAAAUUUUUAAGAGCUUGGGGAGUAGACAUAAGUGUUUGGAGUGCAUCAAACUACUAUAAAAAUUUGUUAUAUUUAUGUGUGUGGUUAUUUUUUUUCUACUUACAUUUCAUUUAGCUUGCAAUUCACUACACUUUACUUAAUUUGUUUUGCAAAGUAGUACAUAUUUAUUUAAAUUCUUGAAAGUCUAAUUCACCCCCUUUUGGAUUGUUUAGCUGGGCAAUAAGUGAUAUCAAAGUUUGCUACUCAGCUAAAAUUUGAUCUAAAGAUCAAG